This 903-nucleotide ribosomal RNA is filed under the name Nigrospora oryzae. RNAcentral describes it as "LSU rRNA". It matches the Rfam family "Eukaryotic large subunit ribosomal RNA", at positions 38 to 965 of the family's 3401-position model. Lineage: Eukaryota; Fungi; Ascomycota; Sordariomycetes; Amphisphaeriales; Apiosporaceae. The record is from RNAcentral.
GCAUAUCAAUAAGCGGAGGAAAAGAAACCAACAGGGAUUCCCCAGUAACGGCGAAGUGAAGCGGGAACAGCUCAAAUUUGAAAUCUGGCCCUCGGGUCCGAGUUUGUAAUUUGUAGAGGAUGCUUUUGGUGCGGUGCCUUCCGAGUUCCCUGGAACGGGACGCCUUAGAGGGUGAGAGCCCCGUACGGUUGGACGCCUAGCCUCUGUAAAGCUCCUUCGACGAGUCGAGUAGUUUGGGAAUGCUGCUCUAAAUGGGAGGUAUAUUUCUUCUAAAGCUAAAUACCGGCCAGAGACCGAUAGCGCACAAGUAGAGUGAUCGAAAGAUGAAAAGCACUUUGAAAAGAGGGUUAAAUAGCACGUGAAAUUGUUGAAAGGGAAGCGUUUAUCACCAGACUUUUUCUAGGGGGAUCAUCCGGGGUUCUCCCCGGUGCACUUCCCCUAGUUGAGGCCAGCAUCGGUUUUCGGAGGGGGAUAAAAGUUUCGGGAAUGUGACUCCCCCGGGAGUGUUAUAGCCCGUUACAUAAUACCCUUCUGGGGACCGAGGUUCGCGCAUCUGCAAGGAUGCUGGCAUAAUGGUGAUCAACGACCCGUCUUGAAACACGGACCAAGGAGUCGAACAUUUAUGCGAGUGUUUGGGUGUUAAACCCUCACGCGUAAUGAAAGUGAACGGAGGUGAGAGCCCUUACGGGUGCAUCAUCGACCGAUCCUGAUGUCUUCGGAUGGAUUUGAGUAAGAGCAUAACUGUUCGGACCCGAAAGAUGGUGAACUAUGCGUGGAUAGGGUGAAGCCAGGAGAAAUCCUGGUGGAGGCUCGCAGCGGUUUCUGACGUGCAAAUCGAUCGUCAAAUCUGCGCAUGGGGGGCGAAAGACUAAUCGAACCAUCUAGUAGCUGGUUACCGCCGAA